UACGUAGGGUGCGAGCGUUAAUCGGAAUUACUGGGCGUAAAGCGUGCGCAGGCGGUUUUGUAAGCCAGAUGUGAAAUCCCCGGGCUUAACCUGGGAAUGGCAUUUGGGACUGCAAGGCUGGAGUUUGGCAGAGGAGACUGGAAUUCCCGGUGUAGCAGUGAAAUGCGUAGAUAUCGGGAGGAAUACCGAUGGCGAAGGCAGGUCUCUGGGCUAUAACUGACGCUCAUGCACGAAAGCGUGGGGAGCAAAC
RNAcentral lists this ribosomal RNA (250 nucleotides) under uncultured bacterium. Its description in RNAcentral is "partial 16S ribosomal RNA". It matches the Rfam family "Bacterial small subunit ribosomal RNA", at positions 524 to 773 of the family's 1533-position model. The record is from RNAcentral. RNAcentral also lists the same sequence under 1 other name.